Falco peregrinus (peregrine falcon) is the source of this 877-nucleotide long non-coding RNA. RefSeq lists it as uncharacterized. The record is from RefSeq and is a predicted model, not a curated record. The transcript is spliced from 3 exons. Lineage: Eukaryota; Metazoa; Chordata; Aves; Falconiformes; Falconidae.
CACAGCACACCCGAAUUAACCCAGCGAACAGUUUGGGUCUAAGCUAUUUGACAGCCUCCUGGUAAACCAUGAGCAAACCACCUAACAAUACACGUCGACAUGCGGGCAAAGACCAUGAAGCAGCGUCCUGAUGGAUGGGAGUGAAGGCUGGAGAGUGGGAGUGUCACAUGCACACACACACGCACACACAGACCCGUGCCAGCACGCGAUGCACACGCAUCGCUGGUGUUCCCCACGGCAGAAGGCAGCAGGGCCAGUCCGUGACGAAGGGCACCAGUGGGGGCUUCUGCUCAUUUCCCUCUGUCCUCUGUGUAGUGCUGGAAGCGAGUGAAGCUCAUGAAGACUUGCUCCAGGGAUAUCUGGCUCACCGAAUAGUCUUCCAAGCGGUACUUCUCUUUGGCUUUCUCCAAGGCCCCGAAGACCUGCAAGGGACAGCAUGGCAGUUACUGCAGGGUACCUCAGCUGCGGGAGAACCCCAUGGGUUGCAGCCAAGAAAGCGGAGGAAGCCUUCUCCUCCAGGGAGAGCCAGGGGAAGGGAAACCUCCCCUGGCAGGAGGGCAGUGGUAAGCCAGAAGAUGGAUUAUUUAGCAGAGCACCUGACCCCAUUUUAAAAUAUGUAUUUUACAUAUACAUAUAUAUAUAUAUGAUACAAACAUAUAUAUACAAAUGUAUUUUUUUUUAAAUAUAUCCCUGGGCUGGGAUCCCAGCUCAAUACAUUAUAAAUAUAAAAUAUGUAUAUAAUAGAUAAAAAACUAUAUAUAUACAGAUAUAAAAAUGUAUAUACUGUGUACAAAAACUAUCUGUAUAUUAUAUGCAUAUAUAUGUAUACUACCUAGACAUAAACAUGUAUCGACAGUAUAUAACUGUCUGCAUACAC